This 24-nucleotide non-coding RNA is filed under the name Rattus norvegicus (Norway rat). The record is from RNAcentral. Lineage: Eukaryota; Metazoa; Chordata; Mammalia; Rodentia; Muridae.
AGGGUCGGGUCAGUGCUCCCCUGU